Molecule: ribosomal RNA, 253 nt
Filed under: uncultured bacterium
Lineage: Bacteria
Description: partial 16S ribosomal RNA
Rfam family: Bacterial small subunit ribosomal RNA
Source: RNAcentral
GACAGAGGGGGCAAGCGUUGCUCGGAAUUACUGGGCGUAAAGGGCGCGUAGGCGGAAUGGCAAGUCGGUCGUGAAAUCCUUCGGCUCAACCGAAGAACGUCGAUCGAAACUGCCGUUCUUGAGGAUUGCAGAGGAGACUGGAAUUCCACGUGUAGCGGUGAAAUGCGUAGAGAUGUGGAGGAACACCAGUGGCGAAGGCGACUCUUUGGCCUGUAACUGACGCUGAGGCGCGAAAGCGUGGGGAGCAAACAGG